This 238-nucleotide non-coding RNA is filed under the name Clostridium acetireducens. RNAcentral describes it as "T-box sequence". It matches the Rfam family "T-box leader". From Rfam's summary of the family: Uncharged tRNA acts as the effector for transcription antitermination of genes in the T-box leader family. T-boxes are found upstream of many aminoacyl-tRNA synthetase genes and some amino acid biosynthetic genes usually in Gram-positive bacteria. The record is from RNAcentral. Lineage: Bacteria; Bacillati; Bacillota; Clostridia; Eubacteriales; Clostridiaceae.
AAAAAGGUAAUGAUAGAAAAAAGUAAUUAUAAUAUACUAUGAAGAGAGCUAGUGGCUGGUGUAAACUAGUUAGUAUUUAUAAUGAAAUACAUUCUUAAACUUAAUGCUGAACUAUACAGGAUUAUACUGUAUUAAGUAAGUAUAUACGUAUGUCUACGUUAUAAGACAAAGAGCGGAUAUAUUUAUUUUAAAAUAAAUAUAUCAACAUGGGUGGUAACGCGGAUACUUCGUCCCUUAU